UGACACAUGGUAGUUGAUCUCUUCCUUUCGAUCGGAUUCAGCAUCAGCCAACUCGGGACUUUGAGGGUGCUAUUUCUCUUUUGUUUUUUUUUCUUUUGAUUUUGCUUUUGAUUUUUUUUUUCUUUUUUUUUUUUGAUUUGGAUUUCUUUUGAUUUAGUUUUGCACCCUCCUCUUUCUUUUUUUCUCUUUUUUUUGAUUAUGCCCCAGUUGGCUGUUCUGCUGAUUCUCGAGAUGCAGCUGAGUGAUCUUCUUUUCUUGCUCAAGAAGUCGGGAAAUCUCGUCGGGAAUCCCUUCAACAUCAUCUUCGUCC
Molecule: long non-coding RNA, 310 nt
Filed under: Lathyrus oleraceus (garden pea)
Lineage: Eukaryota; Viridiplantae; Streptophyta; Magnoliopsida; Fabales; Fabaceae
Description: Pisum sativum (pea) long non-coding RNA (PSAT_LNC040410)
Source: RNAcentral